This 253-nucleotide ribosomal RNA is filed under the name uncultured bacterium. Its description in RNAcentral is "partial 16S ribosomal RNA". It matches the Rfam family "Bacterial small subunit ribosomal RNA", at positions 524 to 776 of the family's 1533-position model. The record is from RNAcentral.
UACGAAGGGGGCUAGCGUUGCUCGGAAUUACUGGGCGUAAAGCGCACGUAGGCGGCUUUCUAAGUCGGGGGUGAAAUCCUGGAGCUCAACUCCAGAACUGCCUUCGAUACUGGAGAGCUUGAGUCCGGGAGAGGUGAGUGGAACUGCGAGUGUAGAGGUGAAAUUCGUAGAUAUUCGCAAGAACACCAGUGGCGAAGGCGGGUCUCUGGGCCGAUACUGACGCUGAGGAGCGAAAGCGUGGGGAGCGAACAGG